Molecule: ribosomal RNA, 460 nt
Filed under: uncultured bacterium
Lineage: Bacteria
Description: partial 16S ribosomal RNA
Rfam family: Bacterial small subunit ribosomal RNA
Source: RNAcentral
CCUACGGGUGGCAGCAGUGAGGAAUAUUGGUCAAUGGGCGCGAGCCUGAACCAGCCAAGUCGCGUGAGGGAUGAAGGUUCUAUGGAUCGUAAACCUCUUUUAUAAGGGAAUAAAGUGUGGGACGUGUCCUAUUUUGUAUGUACCUUAUGAAUAAGAAUCGGCUCACUCCGUGCCAGCAGUCGCGGUAAUACGGAGGAUCCGAGCGUUAUCCGGAUUUAUUUGGUUUAAAGGGUGCGUAGGCGGCCUUUUAAGUCAGCGGUGAAAGUCUGUGGCUCAACCAUAGAAUUGCCGUUGAAACUGGGGGGCUUGAGUAUGUUUGAGGCAGGCGGAAUGCGUGGUGUAGCGGUGAAAUGCUUAGAUAUCACGCAGAACCCCGAUUGCGAAGGCAGCCGGCCAAGCCAUGACUGACGCUGAUGCACGAAAGCGUGGGGAUCAAACAGGAUUAGAUACCCCUGUAGUC